AAGUCGUAACAAGGUUUUCGUAGGUGAACCUGCGGAAGGAUCAUUAGUGAAUUUAUGGGAGUCCCUCUUAAUCGGAGAAGGCCCAAUCCACUUUUUUCAAACCCUAGUGCAUUUGUCCCCUUUUACCUUUAACCCUUUUUGCAUUUGAAAAGGUUGUUGUGUUGAUAACAUUUGAUAAAUGAAAGAAAAACUUUCAGCAAUGGAUCUCUUGGCUCUC
Molecule: unclassified non-coding RNA, 217 nt
Filed under: Kurtzmanomyces sp.
Lineage: Eukaryota; Fungi; Basidiomycota; Agaricostilbomycetes; Agaricostilbales; Chionosphaeraceae
Description: partial internal transcribed spacer region
Rfam family: Eukaryotic small subunit ribosomal RNA (bases 1-46)
Source: RNAcentral